ACAUGCAAGUCGAGCGGUAACAGGGGGAGCUUGCUCUCUGCUGACGAGCGGCGGACGGGUGAGUAAUGCUUAGGAAUCUGCCUGGUAGUGGGGGAUAGCCCGGGGAAACCCGGAUUAAUACCGCAUACGCCCUACGGGGGAAAGCAGGGGAUCUUCGGACCUUGCGCUAUUGGAUGAGCCUAAGUCGGAUUAGCUAGUUGGUGGGGUAAAGGCCUACCAAGGCGACGAUCCGUAGCUGGUCUGAGAGGAUGAUCAGCCACAUCGGGACUGAGACACGGCCCGAACUCCUACGGGAGGCAGCAGUGGGGAAUAUUGGACAAUGGGGGCAACCCUGAUCCAGCCAUGCCGCGUGUGUGAAGAAGGCUUUCGGGUUGUAAAGCACUUUCAGCGAGGAGGAAGGCUCAAAGGUUAAUACCCUUUGGGAUUGACGUUACUCGCAGAAGAAGCACCGGCUAACUCCGUGCCAGCAGCCGCGGUAAUACGGAGGGUGCAAGCGUUAAUCGGAAUUACUGGGCGUAAAGCGCGCGUAGGUGGUUUGAUAAGCGAGAUGUGAAAGCCCCGGGCUUAACCUGGGAACGGCAUUUCGAACUGUCAGACUAGAGUGUGGUAGAGGGUAGUGGAAUUUCCUGUGUAGCGGUGAAAUGCGUAGAUAUAGGAAGGAACACCAGUGGCGAAGGCGGCUACCUGGACCAUCAC
This 696-nucleotide ribosomal RNA is filed under the name Marinobacter sp. F886. Its description in RNAcentral is "bacterial SSU rRNA". It matches the Rfam family "Bacterial small subunit ribosomal RNA", at positions 53 to 740 of the family's 1533-position model. Lineage: Bacteria; Pseudomonadati; Pseudomonadota; Gammaproteobacteria; Pseudomonadales; Marinobacteraceae. The record is from RNAcentral.